UAGGCGAACGGGUGAGUAACGCGUGAGGAACCUGCCUCAAAGAGGGGGACAACAGUUGGAAACGACUGCUAAUACCACAUAAGCCCACGACCCGGCAUCGGGUAGAGGGAAAAGGAGCAAUCCGCUUUGAGAUGGCCUCGCGUCCGAUUAGCUAGUUGGUGAGGUAAUGGCCCACCAAGGCGACGAUCGGUAGCCGGACUGAGAGGUUGAACGGCCACAUUGGGACUGAGACACGGCCCAG
This 241-nucleotide ribosomal RNA is filed under the name uncultured bacterium. RNAcentral describes it as "partial 16S ribosomal RNA". It matches the Rfam family "Bacterial small subunit ribosomal RNA", at positions 95 to 334 of the family's 1533-position model. The record is from RNAcentral.